Molecule: ribosomal RNA, 497 nt
Filed under: uncultured bacterium
Lineage: Bacteria
Description: partial 16S ribosomal RNA
Rfam family: Bacterial small subunit ribosomal RNA
Source: RNAcentral
GAUGAACGCUGGCGGCGUGCCUAAUACGUGCAAGUCGAGCGAACGGACGAGAAGCUUGCUUCUCUGAUGUUAGCGGCGGACGGGUGAGUAACACGUGGAUAACCUACCUAUAAGACUGGGAUAACUUCGGGAAACCGAAGCUAAUACCGGAUGAUAUUUUGAACCGCAUGGUUCAAAAGUGAAAGACGGUCUUGCUGUCACUUAUAGAUGGAUCCGCGCUGCAUUAGCUAGUUGGUAAGGUAACGGCUUACCAAGGCAACGAUGCAUAGCCGACCUGAGAGGGUGAUCGGCCACACUGGAACUGAGACACGGUCCAGACUCCUACGGGAGGCAGCAGUAGGGAAUCUUCCGCAAUGGGCGAAAGCCUGACGGAGCAACGCCGCGUGAGUGAUGAAGGUCUUCGGAUCGUAAAACUCUGUUAUUAGGGAAGAACAUAUGUGUAAGUAACUGUGCACAUCUUGACGGUACCUAAUCAGAAAGCCACGGCUAACUACGUG